CAGAAUACAACACUUUACAGAAUUUGUCUUGACUGAAUACAAGAUUUCAAGGAUUUGGCACUCUGCAACCACCAAUAAAGCUGAAUUUCUGGGUGAAAUUAUAUUAUCCAGCUAGCCCAGCGAGGAGAACAUCCACGCUCAAGGCAGUAAAACCUACCGGCAAAGAGAAAAUAAGAGACCACCACCACUAACACAUUGAACUGGAACUCAGGACAGCCGGAUGCAAUUCUACACUAAAAGUUUUCUGUGUAACGUUACUCAUUUGAUAUUUUUGUGCCUCAGGUGAAUAAGCUGAAUACAGCAAUACUUCCAUCUCCUCUUUCCUCCAAAAAAGGCAGGAAGCUUCCUGAGAGGCAAUUCUCCAGCCCCAAACACCCAUUGGUUUUCUUACUGUCCUACAAAGGUUAAAAAACAAAAAGGGGCUAAUGAAGGAGUGACUACUGAGUGGAUUAAAAAGGACUGAAGACCUUAUGUACAACCACAGCUGAUUCCCCAACUGUUGACACCACAGAAAAGCUUUCCCAACUGCUGAAAAUGCUCAACGAAGACAGAGUUUCUAUAAACCAUGAUGUGCACUGGCAUUCAAGCACUGAGUAUUGGCUACAGACUGUGGG
Molecule: long non-coding RNA, 614 nt
Filed under: Struthio camelus australis
Lineage: Eukaryota; Metazoa; Chordata; Aves; Struthioniformes; Struthionidae
Description: lncRNA (ENSSCUG00000016390.1)
Source: RNAcentral